Molecule: ribosomal RNA, 253 nt
Filed under: uncultured bacterium
Lineage: Bacteria
Description: partial small subunit ribosomal RNA
Rfam family: Bacterial small subunit ribosomal RNA
Source: RNAcentral
AGGACGAACGCUGGCGGCGUGCUUAACACAUGCAAGUCGAGCGGAAAGGCCCUUCGGGGUACUCGAGCGGCGAACGGGUGAGUAACACGUGAGUAACCUGCCCCUAGCUCUGGGAUAGCUCCGGGAAACCGGGAUUAAUACCAGAUACGACCACUUUAGACAUCUGUCGUGGUGGAAAGGAUUCCGGCUAGGGAUGGGCUCGCGGCCUAUCAGCUUGUUGGUGGGGUAACGCCUACCAAGGCGACGACGGGUA